This 429-nucleotide ribosomal RNA is filed under the name Actinomycetes bacterium. Its description in RNAcentral is "Actinobacteria bacterium partial 16S ribosomal RNA". It matches the Rfam family "Bacterial small subunit ribosomal RNA", at positions 355 to 776 of the family's 1533-position model. The record is from RNAcentral. Lineage: Bacteria; Bacillati; Actinomycetota; Actinomycetes.
UAGGGAAUCUUCCGCAAUGGGCGAAAGCCUGACGGAGCAACGCCGCGUGAGUGAUGAAGGUCUUCGGAUCGUAAAACUCUGUUAUUAGGGAAGAACAAAUGUGUAAGUAACUAUGCACGUCUUGACGGUACCUAAUCAGAAAGCCACGGCUAACUACGUGCCAGCAGCCGCGGUAAUACGUAGGUGGCAAGCGUUAUCCGGAAUUAUUGGGCGUAAAGCGCGCGUAGGCGGUUUUUUAAGUCUGAUGUGAAAGCCCACGGCUCAACCGUGGAGGGUCAUUGGAAACUGGAAAACUUGAGUGCAGAAGAGGCAAGUGGAAUUCCAUGUGUAGCGGUGAAAUGCGCAGAGAUAUGGCGGAACACCAGUGGCGAAGGCGACUUUCUGGUCUGUAACUGACGCUGAUGUGCGAAAGCGUGGGGAUCAAACAGG